Molecule: long non-coding RNA, 217 nt
Filed under: Elaeis guineensis (African oil palm)
Lineage: Eukaryota; Viridiplantae; Streptophyta; Magnoliopsida; Arecales; Arecaceae
Description: long non-coding RNA (EGUI_LNC012502)
Source: RNAcentral
CUUGGCGUGAACAAAAGAGGAGACCGUUCUCCUCUUGGGUGAGAGACCUAGAACUGUUCUAGAUUUUUGGGUGAGGAAAAAAUCAAAGAGAAGAGAGUCUUCAUAUAAAUUUUUUUCACUAUCUAACAUCCUUCUCUGAUCCAUCUUCGACAUUGAAAAUAUUUGAGAUGAUCGAAGAAGGAGAUCAAGUUAGAUCUGCCAUCAGAAUCGACUGCAC